GAAUACGUUCCCGGGCCUUGUACACACCGCCCGUCACACCAUGGGAGUUUGUAACGCCCAAAGUCGGUGGCCUAACCUUUGUGGAGGGAGCCGCCUAAGGCGGGACAGAUGACUGGGGUGAAGUCGUAACAAGGUAGCCGUAGGAGAACCUGCGGCUGGAUCACCUCCUUUCUAAGGAA
RNAcentral lists this ribosomal RNA (179 nucleotides) under Limosilactobacillus reuteri. RNAcentral describes it as "Lactobacillus reuteri partial 16S ribosomal RNA". It matches the Rfam family "Bacterial small subunit ribosomal RNA", at positions 1364 to 1533 of the family's 1533-position model. Lineage: Bacteria; Bacillati; Bacillota; Bacilli; Lactobacillales; Lactobacillaceae. The record is from RNAcentral.